Long non-coding RNA from Piliocolobus tephrosceles (Ugandan red Colobus), 2253 nucleotides. RefSeq lists it as uncharacterized. The transcript has 3 exons. Lineage: Eukaryota; Metazoa; Chordata; Mammalia; Primates; Cercopithecidae. The record is from RefSeq and is a predicted model, not a curated record.
ACAUAGCCAGCACUCAAAGAAUGUCAGAUGCUAUUCUUUCCCUCUCCUCCUUCAUAAUAGCAGCAGCAGUAGUAGGGGGAGUAGUUGUUGUAAUGGUACUAAACACUGGCAAGGACUUGUAAGGUUAGUGGUAAAUAAUGUAAUAGUAGUAAACACUGGCAAAAUCACACAGGUUCAUAGGUAGGACUGGGGUUAAAUCCUAGUACUGCCAUUUAAUCGGGGCUGCUGCAGGCAUAUAAAGAACCUUUGUGCAAAUUAUAAAAGAUGUCACCCCUGGAAGAUAGAUUACAAACAGAUGCCCCUUCCUCUGGAUGGAGGAAUCUGCCAAAGGAAAGACACAAGACUUGGCCAGAAGAGCAGCUGGGCAAGUGGAGCACUGCUGGGGUUUCAGCCUCUGCUCAUCACCUCAUCAGUCAGUAUCAUCGUCACCACCAUCAAGAACCCGGAAGAAAAACUAAGCCUCAGAAAAGGUAUUCAAUGCCUCAAGAGGAACUGGUCUGGCUGGAGCAUGCAGGCAUAAAACAGGUACCAAAAAUCAUCUUGAGUCAGCAAAAAGAGCUGCAGGGUAGCUUGUCUGAACAAUAGACAGACUUAGCUUGUCUGAACUAGAGUUUCUUCACUUGUAAAAUGUAAAACAUCGCCUACUCCACAAGGUUUUUGCAAGGAUGAAAUGAGAUUCUAUAUGUAAAGCACCUAGUACAGUGUCUGGUUUGCGUGAGCUCCUCAAAGAAAUGAGUUUCCUUCUCUCUUCUACGGUUAUGGUUAAGAUUUGAGACAAGUAAUUUAACCAGUUAGCCUCCCCUAUAUAAUGGAAGAUAAUACAUACUUCUGAUGAAAAGACACUACAUAAAACAAAAUAUGAUUAUUAACCAUCAAGAUUAAUACCUGGAGGCACUAAUUCAAUGUAUAAAAUAUGCAAAGGUGCCAAUUCAGUAAUAAAUACACUAUGGCAGGAGCUUGUCCCAAGAUGCCAAUUUGCUGAAGUAAGAGGUACAUGCUAGGGCCAAAGUGCCAGGGACACCGACUAAAGCAGCCAGAGAGGGAAGGCUACUACUCUCCUAGAGAUGUUCAGCACUGAGUAAAAAUCCCAAGAGAGCUAACAACCACCCAUCAAGGAAUAAGUAGAGCUAAAGGAAGUGGCAACCGUACAGGCAUGUGGAGUGAUACAGUGGAAAGAGCACAGGAAAACUGGGCCCUGGAAACCCUGUGUUCUACCUCCAGAUCUGCUGCAAGUGGAUGUGAGAGUUUGGCAAGUCCUUUAAAAUGCCCGAGUAUUCAUUUUAACUCUGGAAAACAGAGAUGAAAAUGCCAGCUCUAUCUAGCUUGCAAAGAGAAUGUGCCUUGUAAAGUAGAAAGCACAAUAUAAAUGUUAAGUUAAAUUACUAUGAUUGUGCAAACAUACAAAUAUAGGAAAUAAAAGACUAAACUAAGGAAGCCCCAAAGGUUGACAACAAGACGGGGCAAUGAAGGCCAUCACUCUGAUUAGGACACCAGGUGAAGGUUCCAAGGAAGUAACACCGAGGAGCUGAGUCUUCGUACCCAGUACUCAGGGUGUAGACUACAAUCCACUAUAUCAAGGGAAUAGGGCAGUACUGGUUAUAAACAGGCACCAAGAAACAUUUAAGUUAUACUCUGCUUAAUUUUUUAAAAAUACAAUCAAAACACUACAACAAUAAUGCUGUUACCAUUUCCAUUCCUUGUCUUUGGAAUAGUACAAUGGGCUUAGCAUUCUGUCUUUACUGUGAUGAGUGACGUAUUAUAUAACACGAAAAUGCAUUGCUAUUAAUAAGGAACCUAGAUCAUGGGGCCAUAAGCUUUUGUGGACAGGCCCCACACCCAGUUUAAGCUGGUCGGCUUUUCCUGCAUGAUACUGGGUCCACACAGACUACUUGGAGAGAUGAUCAUUUAUUGCAAGGACAUUUGAAAACAUGAGCAACAAAGGAAAGCACUUUGUGUGCACUGUGCUCACUCUGGCUCCAGCUCUCCUGGCUCUGGGAUGCAGACUGGGUUUCAUAAGCAAGGAGGAAAAGUUGCUUAGCACUGUUCCAGGUAACGAUUCAGAAGUGAGUGACAGUACAGCUCUUGUUUGCCCUGCAUGUCUGUUACAGAGAGAUCCGACUUGACUUUCGGGCCCUCCUGGUAUAUGGACUUGUAUUGGGUGAACUGAGCAGGUCCACUCUGCUGCGGCUGGAUCACUGCUAGCUCCUGGCCCAUCCUUCAACAAGGCGAGCUGUCCAACUGACAGCUACAAAA